GCUGCCAUGGCAGAGGAUCGGUGAUGCAACGGCUGCCGAGUGCCCUACACCUACCGACAAGCCCCUGACAACUGGGCGCUAAACACAAUCGCAAUUGGCACAGUUUAUAAUUUGUUUACCGAGCUGCCUAGAUUUAUGAUCAGUGGAGGACAAGGCAACCACCCACCUAACCGACGAACUGUUCAGAUCUGCCCAUAGGCAUAUACUUCCUCCGCCUUGGCAACAUUUCAACAACAACGGGGCGGCAAAAGUCGCGUGUUCUGGUGAAAUUUUCUGAACUGAGCAAUUUGGCAUUUAAUAUGUAGUUAGACAACAUAUAGUUUUCCGCAUUUUUUAUUUUUGCCCUAA
Drosophila eugracilis is the source of this 348-nucleotide long non-coding RNA. RefSeq lists it as uncharacterized. NCBI's taxonomy places the organism in Eukaryota, Metazoa, Arthropoda, Insecta, Diptera, Drosophilidae. The record is from RefSeq and is a predicted model, not a curated record. The transcript has 2 exons.